RNAcentral lists this long non-coding RNA (261 nucleotides) under Pan troglodytes (chimpanzee). RNAcentral's name for it is "long non-coding RNA NONPTRT004013". Lineage: Eukaryota; Metazoa; Chordata; Mammalia; Primates; Hominidae. The record is from RNAcentral.
UCUUUUAUUUAUGAGGGUAUACUUUCAAAAAAUAAGAGUUUAUGGGUUUUUUCUUUCUUUUUUUGAUGGAGUUUUUGCUGUUGUUGCCCAGGCUGGACUGCAAUGGCGCAAUCUCAGCUCACUACAACUUCUGCCUCCCAGGUUCAAGCGAUUUUCCUGCCUCAGCCUCCUGAGUAGCUGGGAUUACAGGUACACACCAACACGCCUGGCUAAUUUUUUGUAUUUUCGGUAGAGACAGGGUUUCACCACGUUGGCCAAGCU